Lycium ferocissimum is the source of this 1498-nucleotide long non-coding RNA. RefSeq lists it as uncharacterized. The record is from RefSeq and is a predicted model, not a curated record. The transcript is spliced from 3 exons. NCBI's taxonomy places the organism in Eukaryota, Viridiplantae, Streptophyta, Magnoliopsida, Solanales, Solanaceae.
CAAGGGUUUCAAAACCCUAAUAGCCGCCUCAAAGACUCUCUCUCUCAUCGUCACCAUGCCAAAAAUGGCAACGAUGCAGAGUACUCUGUUCACUUUAGUCUGUGCAUGGUCGAAAAAGGCAAAGCAUUAAUUUCUUUGACCUCUCUUUUGCCCUUAUCACCGCAGAACCACCUUCAAAGAGUUUCAGAAAUCUUUGGAUUUGUUUAUGGUUUAUGUGGCUGUGAGAUGUGAAGGAGAAGGAAGAGCUCUCAAACUCCAUUCUCGAAAAGGCUACCACUGCAAAAGUUGAAGUUGAAGUUGACCCCCAGUUAAUGGAUCUAAUCCUCCAUGAAAAGCAAGAAAAUCCGCAUAUUUUGACCAAUUCAAGGUGAAAAAUGGGGUUGCUCCCUCGGCAAAAUUGGGAGAAAAUUGAGCCAAAAGAUCUCGAUUCAAGAUAAAUUCGUGAGGAAGUGGUAUCUCUUUAGGAUCUACUCCAGCGUUUAGAAAUUGGUUAUUCGGUAAAGAUACAUGUACUUGAUGCCCCACCCAAGAGAGAGACCCAAGUCCUAGUAGCCCUGCAAAAUGGUGAUUCAUCAUAGAUUCUACAUCUUGAAACCACAAAAUUUCAUAAUUAAAUACCGUUGUGGUUAUAAUUUUUGCAAAGAAUAUUUGAUUGUUUGAAUGUAUUGAAAGUGAAAAUAAUUUUUUUGGUGUUUUUCAAAUUCUAAAUACAACUUCUAUUUGGAAUUUCCAUGGCCAAACGUUGAUUCCAAAUAAAGUGAAAACGUUUUCCGAAAAAAGUGAAAAAUUUUCAUGGCCAAACGGGCCCUAAGUUUGGAGUGAGCUGCGAUACUUUUUUUGAUCAUAUUGUCUAUUCUCUUCUUCCCCUUUCAUUAUUGGACAUGUUAUAAUACAUCUUGUAUACAUGAUAUACCCUCUUUAUAUACCUCAGUAUAUAUUAAGCCGUAUAUCAUGUAUACCCAUAGUAUAUCGUGAUGACUUUGAGGAAUUAAAACUAUGCUUUAAUUGAUUUGGCCAUCUCUUUUAACAUUGUCAUUUCACAACUGAUCUGGGCCUUUUCUUGCUUUUCUCUCCAUUUAGGCGUUUACUUGUUUUUCUUUUGAAUGUGGGCUUUCUGUCAUGUCUUUUUGUUUCCUUUGAAUCUAUUUGGGCUUUGUGUUUGGUACAUACGGUCUGAUGUAUAUGAAUGUACAAGUGAGACACAACUUUUAUGUGUAAUUGCAUGUGUGCGAUUUAUUUUCCUUCUUAUAUAGUCGCUAAGUUUAGAUGCUUUCUAACCAUACUUCCUUUUUUCCCCUCCUCUUUUGCAUGGAACCACCACUGUUUGGGCCAGUUUUUUAUGAGCAAAUUGUUGGGCCUCUGGCCCAACAUCCUUCUUUGAUCGAGUCUGAACCAAGAAGGCCCAACCAUAGGUGAAAAUGACAAUUGGUGGGCUCGGUAGACCCACCAGACUAACUUCCGCUUUCACUUCGUGUAUAUAUAUAUAUAUAUAUAUAUA